CACGUAGGGGGCAAGCGUUGUCCGGAUUCAUUGGGCGUAAAGAGCUCGUAGGCGGUGUGUCACGUCGGCCGUGAAAACCUGCAGCUUAACUGUGGGCGUGCGGUCGAUACGGGCAUCACUGGAGUUCGGCAGGGGAGACUGGAAUUCCUGGUGUAGCGGUGAAAUGCGCAGAUAUCAGGAGGAACACCGGUGGCGAAGGCGGGUCUCUGGGCCGAUACUGACGCUGAGGAGCGAAAGCGUGGGGAGCAAACAGG
This 254-nucleotide ribosomal RNA is filed under the name uncultured bacterium. RNAcentral describes it as "partial 16S ribosomal RNA". It matches the Rfam family "Bacterial small subunit ribosomal RNA", at positions 524 to 776 of the family's 1533-position model. The record is from RNAcentral.